CUCUGUUUCUUUGCGGCGCCAGAUCGUAUAAAAGGGCUGGAAGGACCGCCAGGAUAACUCAGUGCACCACCGCCGCCGUUACGAGAACACAUCCACUCCUUUGGGGCUCCUGACCUUCUCCACACACAGAGCUAGUCGGAUCUGCAGCCACGACCCACACGCAUCAUCUAACCCUAUCCACACUCAAGCAGAAGAAAGGUUUUAUACACCAAGGCGAUUCCAGACGUUAUCACUCACCUAACAUUCCUUCUUGCUCAACCCAACCUCCCAUCAAGUGAUCAAAGAUGCGUGUGUGGGUGCUGCUGCUGGCCGUCCUUGCUGUGCUAUCGGCGAUGGUUGGGGUGGCGGAGGCGGCGCCUGCCCCUCAGCAACUCACCUUCAGGAGGACCUUCGGGUUCAGACGGGUCAUUCCAAGGAGACGCAACACCGUCCGCUCCCGACCCAAGCCCACAAAGUCCAGGGGAUGCACCAACUCGGGGCUCUUCGUGGUGUGCUGAAGGACCCGAUGAGAGGCUGACGUCCGGAAGGGGAGAGAGGGGGAGGGGGUGAAGAUGUCAAAUGGCACUCCUAUUCUUAUUCCUCCUUCGUCGAGUGUCGCAGAUUUGGCUCCACGGCGAUAGGGAAUCAGUAGUGAGGGCGCCAAGAUUUGUUACCCCUUCCCUGCUCCUCCUGCAUCCCCUUCCUCCUCUUACAUCUCCUUCCCUUAAUUCCCCUUACCCUUACACUUAAUUCCUUAAUGAUUAAGGAAGUAAAGGGAAGGGGACGAGGGAUAGGAGAUUAAAUACCCUUUCCAUUCCUAUCACACCUACUUACCGAUAUCCCAUCCCUUUAACCCCCUUCCCUUAUCACUCCUUCCCCUUACCCCAUUUCCCAUACCCCUUUUCCUUCAUGCACCUCCGUGGUGCAGUGGUUAACGUGACUAACUACGGAUCCGCGGGUCCGGGUUCGAAUCCCGGCCCGGGCAGUCGGCGUGCAGCCCACCCAGUUGUCCAUCCUCCCUUGCGGGCGGAUCGAUAAAUAGGUGGCUGGGGAAUCCUGGGAAAGGUAAACUGUGGUAACCCGAACGUUACUCUGGCCCUGUGUCCCGGGGUGAUGGCUGCUUCCCGCCACAGGCUCAAGGGUCAGUGCAACGGAAACAAGCACCGCAGCCACGCGCAGCAGCAACGUGUGCCCCAACAUUACUUUCCCCUUCAAAUCCCCAUCACAUGCAUCAUCUUUACCCUCAUCGUCCCCCUAUCUUCAAGAUUUUCCCCUCUCCCUCCCCCUCCCCAUCAUCACCCCUUAGUUCCUUCAUAAGGCUUCCCUCCCCUUUUCCUCCCUUUAUCGGACCCCUUCACUCAUUAACGCUAAUCUAAUCACCCUUAAAAGGUCACGUUUAUGGAUGACUGAAGUGCUUGCUAAGCUUUACCUUUAUUAUUUAUUUAUCGUGAGCCUUUCGUGUGGUAAUUGGUGGUGGUGGUGGUGCUGGUGGUGGUGGUGGUGCUGGUGGUGAUGACUUAAUCGCCACUACCCCUUCCCCUCCCUCCCUCCUCCACCUCCUUCCCCUCCGCUCAUUCUACUCCCUUUCCUUUCCUCCCUCCCAUACUGCUACCGCCAUGUAUUUGCCUAUAUUUAUUAUGUAAGUCCGUUUAUAUAUUGUUGUGUAAAUAAAUGUGUGACAAAUAUU
Molecule: long non-coding RNA, 1666 nt
Organism: Eriocheir sinensis (Chinese mitten crab)
Lineage: Eukaryota; Metazoa; Arthropoda; Malacostraca; Decapoda; Varunidae
Exons: 3
Source: RefSeq, a predicted model, not a curated record